This 71-nucleotide transfer RNA is filed under the name Chitinophagaceae bacterium. RNAcentral's name for it is "tRNA-Gln". It matches the Rfam family "tRNA". From Rfam's summary of the family: Transfer RNA (tRNA) molecules are approximately 80 nucleotides in length. Their secondary structure includes four short double-helical elements and three loops (D, anti-codon, and T loops). Lineage: Bacteria; Pseudomonadati; Bacteroidota; Chitinophagia; Chitinophagales; Chitinophagaceae. RNAcentral also lists the same sequence under 1 other name. The record is from RNAcentral.
UGUCCGAUGGUGUAAUGGUAACACAGCAGAUUUUGGUUCUGUCGUUCAAGGUUCGAGCCCUUGUCGGACAA